This is a non-coding RNA of Camellia sinensis, 545 nucleotides long. The record is from RefSeq and is a predicted model, not a curated record. Lineage: Eukaryota; Viridiplantae; Streptophyta; Magnoliopsida; Ericales; Theaceae.
AGCAGAAAAAAAAAAAAAGUGAAGCAACAAAUAAAAGAGGCAGACAAUGCAAGACAACAUGGGGAGAUGCAGAGGCAAAUUUUUAGACUUUUGAGCAUGUUAGCACAACUUUUCAAAAAUGGUGGCCACCAAAUUCCCCACCAUAGCUAGCCAUGGUAAUGGAUGGAUGAACUCGUGCACAAAGCUGAAUUGUAUAGGACUAGUUGGCACUUGUUAUAUUUUUUGAAAGAGUAUAUAUUUUUGGAUAGAUGUGUAUGGAAAAUAUUUGGGUAGACUAGUAGUUAUAUUUUUAGAUGAAUGUGUAUCGAAAAUAUUUGGGUAGACUACUAGUUGUAUUUUUUGAUAGAUGCGCAUGGAUAAAAAUUGAAAACAUAAUAGUAGGUAUUUGUUAUUUUUUAAUUUUUCAUGCUAGAUAGAUGUGAAUGGAAUGAUUAUAUAGAUUGUUAGCGGAUUUAUAAUUGGAGGAAUAUGUAGUUUGGAAUUACUUCUGGAUGACAACUUAUAAUAGUUGAUGAUUUCAAUGAAACAGAUUCAGGAUUGGAUGA